RNAcentral lists this long non-coding RNA (273 nucleotides) under Nannospalax galili (Upper Galilee mountains blind mole rat). RNAcentral describes it as "WT1 antisense RNA conserved region 8 (ENSNGAG00000002078.1)". It matches the Rfam family "WT1 antisense RNA conserved region 8". Lineage: Eukaryota; Metazoa; Chordata; Mammalia; Rodentia; Spalacidae. The record is from RNAcentral.
CAACAAACUUAAAAUCGUCCCAUCCUGGAAAAUUCUUUUCAACUAUUUGUUUUUGUGCUUUUAACCUAUAAAAGACAAUGGAAUAUGUUUUAUAGGCAGGAUUUUAUUUCAUUCCCUUCACUCUUCUGGCUACAUCGCAUUUAAUAGUUGUCACUUUCCUAACAGCAUUGAAUUUAAUUGUAUGUGAACGAAAUAGUCCUCAGGAAAUUUCUAAAUCUAAAUAUCACUUUGUAAUUCCCCUUCAUUAAAUAUCAUAAUUACAGAAAUCUGUGA